RNAcentral lists this ribosomal RNA (383 nucleotides) under Ixodes persulcatus (taiga tick). Its description in RNAcentral is "partial large subunit ribosomal RNA". The stretch from base 107 to 383 matches the Rfam family "Bacterial large subunit ribosomal RNA", at positions 2078 to 2600 of the family's 2925-position model. Lineage: Eukaryota; Metazoa; Arthropoda; Arachnida; Ixodida; Ixodidae. The record is from RNAcentral.
UGGAUUUUUAAAUGAGUGCUAAGAGAAUGAUUGAACAAUUAUAGGCUUUCUUUAGUUAAAUAAUUAAAUUUAAUUUUUUUAGUGCAAAAGCAAAAAUUAAAUUUAGGGACAAGAAGACCCUAUGAAUUUUAAUUUAAUUUAUAAUUUGAAAUUUUAAAUUAAAUUUGAUUGGGGCGAUGGAAAAAGAAUGAGUAUCUUUUUUAGUUUUAAAAAUUGGUUCCGUUUUUAACGAUUAAAUGAGAAAAAUACUCUAGGGAUAACAGCGUAAUAAUUUUGGAUAGUUCUUAUAGAUAAAAUAGUUUGCGACCUCGAUGUUGGAUUAGGAUUCUUUCUUGGCGAAGAAGUUAAGAAAAAGAAGUUUGCUCAACUUUUAAAUUCCUACA